Xenopus laevis (African clawed frog) is the source of this 1497-nucleotide long non-coding RNA. RefSeq lists it as uncharacterized. Lineage: Eukaryota; Metazoa; Chordata; Amphibia; Anura; Pipidae. The record is from RefSeq and is a predicted model, not a curated record. The transcript is spliced from 3 exons.
CCAGGUCCCAAGUAUUCCUGAUAAUAGAUUCCAUAUGUGUACAAUAUUAUAUAAAAAGUACUGGUUAAAAUAAUACGUCCAAUCGGUCUUAAAACUACCAAGAACAAGACCGAUUGGACGUAGUAUUUUAACCAGUACUUUUCCUUACUAUACUUCAUUAAAAUCUUUAAAAUUUUCAGGCAAAAACAUCCCAUUUUACUUUUUCUUUUUUCUGUUCUCCAUAUACAGUUCACAGAAGCUAUCUUCCAGCUCUUCGGAAUGGGAGCGGCAUAUUGGCAAUUUCUGUGACUUCCGGCGCAUGUGCAGUUGUGCCGGAUAGGAAGAUUGCUUCAACUAUGCAUGAGCCGAUACAGCGAUCUCAUUCCGAAGAUUAUUGAAGAGAAGAAGAUGGCUCCCGUGAACUCCGCUGGACAGAAUCUGCAAUGAGGGGAAUGAGUGGGCUACAGCUGAACUAAUGGCUUUCCUCUAUGGAAGGAACACAACAUUCUUCAUGCCUGCAGCAGUUUUGGCAUCACUAAGCCUGCUGACUGGUUGAAUUCCUUCCCAGUGACCUGCAGGUGUCUAUAUAACAAGCUGGAGCUGAUUGGCAAAUCUUUGUCCCGGUCUCUACAACAACUGCCUGCUGAUUGGCUGAACAUUUCUCUAGCCAGUACUUCCUUGAAAUCAGAGGCCCUGUGACAGUUGGGAGUUUUUUUGCCUUGAGAAAAACAGCAGCAGCUUCUUCCUUCUCUAAUAAAUGCCUUUUGGUGUUAAAAUGAUGUUCACGGGACAGUUAUAAUUCAACAGGGGUGGAUAGAUUAACUGCCGACCCCUCUCAUCCACCAGGGUUAUAUGUUCCAGUUGCCUAGUGGUGCAUAGCAGGAACAGUAGUCAGUUUUAAACCAGCUGAUUAAAAUGGAUGAUUAAAAUGGAUGCUCUGCUUUUUCUGGGAGCCAAUAAGUAAAAAAAAAGCUAUUAAAGCUAAAGAAUCACCAUCUGAGAGACGCGCCAAUUGCAGCACCGCCUCAGUUACUUUCCUUAGACUGAACUCAUGCAGCGCUGAGGGGCUUAUGGAAAACAACCUGUGUUUAAACUACACUACAUGAAUUGGCACAAAGUUGCACUCAGCAGCUCACUGAAUUCUUUUUAUUCGCACCCAUUAGUUCACUUGCACUUUUGUCCAGGGACUCUAUAAUCAGACAUAAAUUCAAAAUAAGAAUUCCAAAAUGAUAUUAUUUUAAAGAAACAAACAUAUCUUUUUCCUCCAUUAUGAAAACGUGGAUUUGCAAAUUACAGGUCCAAAGAAAUUCAGAAAAUCCCAGCCUGAAAUCUCACCCUUGAUCUGAGGAUGAAUCCAUUAUAUUUCUUGCACCUCCGAGAACAUUUCAGAAGCAUCACAGCGAGGUCUUUUUCCAACUUCAUCUAUCAUGUUACUUUGUAUCAGAUGAUUCCACCGUAUCCAAGGGUUGUUCUACAUCUGUGAAUGGUGUAUUCAUAAAGUCUUCUACAUUUUUCUUA